This is a long non-coding RNA of Zingiber officinale, 2723 nucleotides long. RefSeq lists it as uncharacterized. Lineage: Eukaryota; Viridiplantae; Streptophyta; Magnoliopsida; Zingiberales; Zingiberaceae. The transcript is spliced from 4 exons. The record is from RefSeq and is a predicted model, not a curated record.
AAUCGUUGGAUCAACUAAGGAGUUGAAAAACCCUUGGUUUCACUCACUCGCACCCACCUAUCUUCCGAAAACCUCCCGAACCCCUCUCACAACUUCGAUCAUCUCUCGCCUUCUCCAUCACUGUCGGCGUCCCUCAUUCUCUUCCUCUACCCGAUUGGGAGAGGACAGGCUCCCUCUUCCGCCUCCAUCUCAUCUACAGCCGACGCUAACGCACACAAUAGGAGCUUCAUCCCAGAAUCCGCAGGCCAUCUCAUCUCCUCUACCAUCUUCCUCGCCGUUGACGGCAAGGUCUUCUCACAGAGCUUCCAGAUCUGAAAGCCAUCUCACGGUGCCUUCAUCUUUAGCCCACAGCUUCUUCCAAUUGGGAGAGGCGCCACCACCGAACUCUACAUCACCCUCUCCUGAUUAGUAGAGGUUUCUUCGCCACCACUAGUUUCCUUCCACCUCUCCAUUUCGGAUUUGAAGAGUAAAGCUUCAUCACUAGCCAGCAACCCCUCUCCUCUUCGGAUUUGAAGAGGAGAGUUCAUCCAUCCUUCAACAACCCCUUUAUCUUCAGAUUCGAAGAGAAGGUUUCAUUCUCCAUCGACGAGCAGCCAUCCACUUUGUCCACAGCCUUCGCUGGUAGAUUGGCCGUCAGAGAAGCUCCAUCCAGCAGCCCCCUCUCCACUUCGGAUUCGAAGAGGAGAGUUCUAUUCCGAUCCAUGCCUAUGACAUUGGGUUAUUUCUAUAUAUGUUGAAUUGUGUUAUUCUUGUUGAUUGUUGAAUUGUAACGUAGCUAUUCUCCCAUGUUUAGAAUUGCAUGUAAUUUUGCUUAAUUGAAUUCUCGCUCGUUAUGUGUUUGAUGAAAUGCCUCUUUCAUUAGUUAGUUUCUAAACUUGCAUCUUCUUUGGUUUGAAUUCUUGUGAUGAUUAGUUAGUUGAAUGUUUUAGGUUAGAUUAGUUGAAUUUUGACAAAUUUAUUCAUGUGGAAGUUUAUUUCUAAUAUUUCCUAAAUUUUUGAAUACUCAAAAAUAGAUUGAAGAGGAAUGAAAAUGCUCAAAAAUAGAUGUGGGGAAUGUGCUCACAUUUUGACACUCAAGUCAAAAAAAUGAACAUUAGGGACUUAGUGCAUACCUAAACUUCAUUGGCCGUGGUGCCUUUCAUUGGCUAGAUUGUCCAAUUUUCAACUGCUGAAAGUGUUGGACUUCAUCGGACAGUUGUAACAAGUAUCUGUUUCAUGUUGGUUGGAGCACAACUAAAAAUGAUGGUUCUGCUGUGCCAUCUAGGUUAUCAAUGGUUUGUUUUUUUCAUUGCUUAUGUGUGAUUUUGGUCAAGAGUUCUGAUAUUUGUGUUCGAGAGAGGAUUUUGAACAUUAUUUCUGACCAAAAUACUCUAGUCAUCAAGCUGUACACAGUGAGUUCUUCUUAUAUCCACAUAGAUUUACAUGGUCCAAAUAUAUCUAUUGAGGUGCAAACAGUCUAUUUCUUGAAGCUUGAUCUCUUCAUAUAUAUGCCUCUUGCAUGGAAUAAUGUUUUUAGAUAUUCAUAUGUAAAUUUUCUUGUCAUUGCAUAUCAUAGCAACCAAUGCUGAUGCACAAGAAGUCAAAAACAAUUUCAUUUUAUCAAAUUGGACUUGUAAAAGAAAUAGGGAUCUAUGGCUGCAUCAAUUUUCGACCAUUUAGUUAGCUUGCUAGAUUUAAAGUCCUCAAUUGUUUUUUCCCAGAAUCUACCAAUAAUUUGAGGAGCAGAUCUAGUGGAACAAAUCAAACUGCCCUCUUUGUUUAGCAAUUGUUUCCUCGAUCUUACUUAGCAGAUCUAGUGGAAUGAAUUAUGCUGCCCUCUUGGUUUAACAAUUGUUUCCUUGAUCUGACUAUUCUUGGAUCGGUUGGACCGACUAGAGGGGGUGAAUAGCCCUGUAAAGUAGAAUUAUGAAUCUUCUCUUGCUUGUCGAGAACCAGUUGACAAUUGCCACUCUUUUGAAUACUCAUUAUACUAAUCUCUCAUAUGUUAGGGAAACUAAGCAUUGGCCUCCGAGUUUAAUCGAUUCCUUGUAGCAUUUCAUCACACUUUCCUAACAAGCUCCAAUAUCUUGCUUGGUUGAUAAAUGGUGAUGCAUUAAGUCUUUUUCAAUGCAGAUGUUAAUGGGUCAGAAACAAAUUUUGUGUAUCACUUCUAAAGGACAUCAUAUCACAGACAUUGAUAAGCGAAGAGGAGGAUUAAGAAGCACUAUUUGAUCAGAAUAUGGAGGAUUAAGAUGCAGAAUAUAGAAAAAUAAAAGUCCAUGGCUGCAUAUAUCAAGAGAGAGGUUUGUUCUACCUUGGUGCAACUUAUAGAAGUUCGACCAUCAUUCCUAGAGUGCCUUUUCAGAUAUUUUAAAGGUGAAUGGAGGUAUUCAAAAACUCCAGCUAAAUAGCUUGGGUAUGGAUGAUUACAGGAGCAACAACUACAUACUAUGUGACACUGCAUCCGAACCUCAUGGGUGUGAUUGGGAAGUACUUCGACGAAGAACUAUCAAGAAGGCUUUGGGAUUUAAGUGAGAAUAUGGUUAAAGUCAAUGAGUAAAGAACAUUCAAGUCAAGAGGAUAAGUAGCAUCUAUAAAGAUCCUUUAAGUUCAUGCAAUAAAAUGUAGACGAUAGAAGUAGUUUUCAGUGUCUCCUAAUUAAAAUUUCUUUGUAUGCAAGUAAUUAUGCUUGUUAUAAAGUGUAUGGAUGAUAAUUUAUAUAUUUAUCUUGGUUGUUUAUUUAA